UCGCCUCUCUGCUCUCUCACCUCACCUUGCCUCUCUCGCCUCUCGUUGAUUUUAAGCUCAAACAGACUCACCUCACCUCGCCUCUCUCGCCGUCGCAGCGCCUCGACUCAGCAGCCCCAAAUCCCUUUUCCGGCUGAUUCUCUUCUUCUCCUCAAGGUUUCAGCAGUCAUUUGCCUGAUUCCUCUUGUUUGAAGUUAAGUUCAAUGUUGACAUGUAUGGGCGAAAAAAUGAUUGUUUAAGUAUUACAUGACCAAUAUCCAGCCGUUGAAACUUGACCAAUAUCCAACGGUGUAGUUUAUGCUCAGGGAGGUCCUAACCCUAGCUAGAAGGGGUACUAUAAAUAAACACAUUUCAUCUCAGUGACAAAACCAAGCUGCCACAGAUCAGAGCGGCAUUUCCUCUCAAGUUUCAAGCCCUUGCAUUUGUUUUGAGUUUUUGAUCAUGGGGUUGUGCACCAUGGGAGACACCACUCAUUGAUAUUAAAAUUGAAGAUUUUAAUGGGAUCGGUAUAAACAGAGCGUAUUGCGUGGGCGUGGCUGAUGGGAAAUGGGAAUGUGUGAGAACCAUUGAUAUCUUGGAUGCCUAUUCUGUAUACUAUGAAGCCUAUAAGGAAGAGAGGAGAUCUUGUUUCUGAUUCUCAACUCUAAGAAUGGAAAACAUCUGUUUACAGAUGAUCUACUUGAAUAUUUUAGGCACUAUGGAAGGGGUUGAAUAUGCUCAUUGAGUAGCUCAGAUCCGUCUGAAUGAGAAGACUGGAUUCUAUUUUCACCGAUUGGUAUGCAAGACUCCGCAUGAUGCUUCCAACAUAUUUAGUCACAUUGCGGCUAUCGGUGGUUAUGAGCCAGACCCUAACGUUGGGGAUCUGCUGUUAAGCAGAUCCUCCAAACCUUCCCGUAUCGUGUGAACUUCGAUUUGGCAGUUGAGGACAAACGGUUACGUGUACCUGUGGCUGUGUGUGUUAGCCGAGCCUCGAGGACUGUGUUGGAUCUCCUCCGUAGUAGUUCUCGUGCCAUCUUUGAUAUCCACGAGGAGGAUGAGGAGGAUGAAGAUCACAAAUUGUGAAUAUUGGAUAGGGACUCAAGAUAGUGAACGGCUGCUACUGCGGUGAAAGGUUAAUAGCUCGUUUCAAUAUGUGUCUAGUCUAGUCUCGUUGUAUAUUUCCAUUCAGUAUGUGAAAUCUUUAAGUGUACUAAAUGGCAAAGUAUGAAUUCAUUCAUAGAAAUUGG
Molecule: RNA transcript, 1226 nt
Organism: Fragaria vesca subsp. vesca
Lineage: Eukaryota; Viridiplantae; Streptophyta; Magnoliopsida; Rosales; Rosaceae
Exons: 5
Source: RefSeq, a predicted model, not a curated record